Molecule: ribosomal RNA, 460 nt
Filed under: uncultured bacterium
Lineage: Bacteria
Description: bacterial SSU rRNA
Rfam family: Archaeal small subunit ribosomal RNA
Source: RNAcentral
UUUUGCUAGUCCUAAAAACACUAAUGAAUAANGGGUGGGCAAGUUCUGGUGUCAGCCGCCGCGGUAAAACCAGCACCUCAAGUUGUCAGGAGGAUUAUUGGGCCUAAAGCAUCCGUAGCCGGCUCUGUAAGUUUCCGGUUAAAUCCAUUUGCUCAACAAAUGGGCUGCCGGAAAAACUGCAAAGCUAGGGAGUGGGANAGGUAGACGGUACUCGGUAGGAAGGGGUAAAAUCCUUUGAUCUAUUGAUGACCACCUGUGGCGAAGGCGGUCUACCAGAACACGUUCGACGGUGAGGGAUGAAAGCUGGGGGAGCAAACCGGAUUAAAUACCCGGGUAGUCCCAGCUGUAAACGAUGCAGACUCGGUGAUGCGCUGGCUUGUGGCCAGUGCAGUGCCGCAGGGAAGCCGUUAAGUUUGCCGCCUGGGAAGUACGUACGCAAGUAUGAAACUUAAAGGAAUUG